Molecule: ribosomal RNA, 699 nt
Filed under: Crossandra infundibuliformis
Lineage: Eukaryota; Viridiplantae; Streptophyta; Magnoliopsida; Lamiales; Acanthaceae
Description: eukaryotic LSU rRNA
Rfam family: 5.8S ribosomal RNA (bases 281-436)
Source: RNAcentral
AGGUGAACUGCGGAAGGAUCAUUGUCGAGACCUGCAAGAGCAGACCGCGAACCCGUGCUCAACCGCACCGGGGCGCACGCGCGGCGGGGGCNAGCCCCCCCACGUGCCGCCCGUCCCGGACCCCCGCCCGGCGCGCGCCCGCGCGCGUUGGGCCGGCCAACGAACCCCGGCGCGGAACGCGCCAAGGAAAACCGAAACGAAGCGUCCCACCCCCCCUCCCGCCCCGUUCGCGGUGUGCCGGGUCNGGGGACGCNGCGUCUCACGUGUACGAUGUCAAAACGACUCUCGGCAACGGAUAUCUCGGCUCUCGCAUCGAUGAAGAACGUUGCGAAAUGCGAUACUUGGUGUGAAUUGCAGAAUCCCGUGAACCNUCGAGUCUUUGAACGCAAGUUGCGCCCGAGGCCCUCCGGCCGAGGGCACGUCUGCCUGGGCGUCACGCAUCGCGUCGCCCCCCUCCCCUCCCGCGCCGCUCCCACGGGACGGCGGCGGGGCGGGGGCAGGGGGGCGGAGACUGGCCUCCCGUGCGCCCCGGCGCGCGGCCGGCCCAAAUGCGAUCCCCCGGCGACGCACGUCGCGACCAGUGGUGGUUGAACGCUCAACUCGCGUGCUGUCCGUCGCGCCCCACGUCGUCGUCCGGUCGGGCAUCACGAAACGACCCAACGCUCUCGACCGCGACCCCAGGUCAGGCGGGAUUACCCG